GAUGAACGCUGGCGGCGUGCUUAACACAUGCAAGUCGAACGGUGAAGGCGGAGCUUUCUCUGCUGGAUCAGUGGCGAACGGGUGAGUAACACGUGAGCAAUCUGCCGCUGACUCUGGGAUAAGCGCUGGAAACGGCGUCUAAUACUAGCUACUAGCGUCGAAGGAAUCUUCAGCAGCUGGAAAGAAUUUCGGUCAGGGAUGAGCGCGCGGCCUAUCAGCGUGUUGGUGAGGUAAUGCCUCACCACGGCGUCGACGGGUAGCCGGCCUGAGAGGGUGACCAGCCACACUGGGACUGCGACACGGCCCAGACGGCUACGGGGGGCAGCAGUGGGGAGUAUUGCGCAAUGGGCGAGAGCCUGAUGCAGCAACGCCGGGUUAGGGAAGACGGCCUUCGGGUGGUAAACCUCUUUUAGCAGGGAAGAAGCGAAAGUGACGGUACCUGCAGAAAAAGCGCCGGCUAACUACGUG
Molecule: ribosomal RNA, 468 nt
Filed under: uncultured bacterium
Lineage: Bacteria
Description: partial 16S ribosomal RNA
Rfam family: Bacterial small subunit ribosomal RNA
Source: RNAcentral